CUAACUACAAUUGCAAACUGAUUAAUUGCUUGAUUUUUGUUGAUUGAAAUUCUGUCACCAUAUGUUUGAUACAAUUCCCGUGGUGUAAUUCUGAGUUUCUUUCCAGCAACAGCAUUAACAAUUUUUCUUGCAAUUAUCAUUAAUAUUGGUGGCUCUUGUGAGUGUUCUUGUGGCUGCAGAAUAGCUUCAAGUGGCUCUACAUUGUUGGUAGCAUUCUAGAAAGAAGAUUGGUGAGGAUAAAGUUGGAUUGAAGGAUGGUUU
This 261-nucleotide long non-coding RNA is filed under the name Vigna radiata. Its description in RNAcentral is "long non-coding RNA (VRAD_LNC017279)". Lineage: Eukaryota; Viridiplantae; Streptophyta; Magnoliopsida; Fabales; Fabaceae. The record is from RNAcentral.